GGGNUCUAUACAUGCAAGUCGAGCGAGCAAUUUUAACAGAAGGCCUUCGGGCUGGAAGCUAAAAGCGCGAGCGGCGGAUGGGUGAGUAACACGUGGGCAACCUGCCCUUUAGCUUGGGAUACCACUUGGAAACAGGUGCUAAUACCAAAUAAGAAGCAAGAGCGCAUGCUCAAGCUAUGAAAGGCGGCUUUCGAGCUGUCACUAAAGGAUGGGCCCGCGGUGCAUUAGCUAGUUGGUAAGGUAACGGCUUACCAAGGCAAUGAUGCAUAGCCGAGUUGAGAGACUGAUCGGCCACAUUGGGACUGAGACACGGCCCAAACUCCUACGGGAGGCAGCAGUAGGGAAUCUUCCACAAUGGACGCAAGUCUGAUGGAGCAACGCCGCGUGAGUGAAGAAGGUUUUCGGAUCGUAAAGCUCUGUUGUUGGUGAAGAAGGAUGUGAAUAGUAACUGAUUCAUAUUUGACGGUAAUCAACCAGAAAGUCACGGCUAACUACGUGCCAGCAGCCGCGGUAAUACGUAGGUGGCAAGCGUUGUCCGGAUUUAUUGGGCGUAAAGCGAACGCAGGCGGGAGAACAAGUCAGCUGUGAAAGCCCUCGGCUUAACCGGGGAAGUGCAGCUGAAACUGUUUUUCUUGAGUGCAGAAGAGGAGAGUGGAACUCCAUGUGUAGCGGUGGAAUGCGUAGAUAUAUGGAAGAACACCAGUGGCGAAGGCGGCUCUCUGGUCUGUAACUGACGCUGAGGUUCGAAAGCAUGGGUAGCGAACAGGAUUAGAUACCCUGGUAGUCCAUGCCGUAAACGAUGAGUGCUAAGUGUUGGGAGGUUUCCGCCUCUCAGUGCUGCAGCUAACGCAUUAAGCACUCCGCCUGGGGAGUACGACCGCAAGGUUAAAACUCAAAGGAAUUGACGGGGGGCCCGCACAAGCGGUGGAGCAUGUGGUUUAAUUCGAAGCAACGCGAAGAACCUUACAAGGUUCUUGGACAUCUAGUGUCCAGUCCUAGAGAUAGGGAUGUUUCCCUUCGGGGCACAACUAAGAACCAGGUGGGUGCAUGGGCUGUCGUCAGCUCGUGGUCGGUGAGAAAUGUGUGGGUUUAAGGUUCCUCGACAAUCGNAGGUCNNNAANCCCNNUUAAUUANUUNUAGUNUUGAGCGCUCAAGNNCNAU
Molecule: ribosomal RNA, 1161 nt
Filed under: Lactobacillus sp. Naser Tajabadi-1
Lineage: Bacteria; Bacillati; Bacillota; Bacilli; Lactobacillales; Lactobacillaceae
Description: bacterial SSU rRNA
Rfam family: Bacterial small subunit ribosomal RNA
Source: RNAcentral